UUUGAUGAUGACAUUUUCUUGGACCUGAC
RNAcentral lists this small RNA (29 nucleotides) under Bombyx mori (domestic silkworm). Its description in RNAcentral is "ovarian small RNA-38389". Lineage: Eukaryota; Metazoa; Arthropoda; Insecta; Lepidoptera; Bombycidae. The record is from RNAcentral.